UACGUAGGGUGCGAGCGUUGUCCGGAUUUAUUGGGCGUAAAGAGCUUGUAGGCGGCUCGUCGCGUCGGGUGUGAAAACUUGCGGCUUAACCGCAAGCCUGCACCCGAUACGGGCGGGCUAGAGUUCGGCAGGGGAGACUGGAAUUCCUGGUGUAGCGGUGGAAUGCGCAGAUAUCAGGAGGAACACCGGUGGCGAAGGCGGGUCUCUGGGCCGAUACUGACGCUGAGGAGCGAAAGCGUGGGGAGCGAACAGG
Molecule: ribosomal RNA, 253 nt
Filed under: uncultured bacterium
Lineage: Bacteria
Description: partial 16S ribosomal RNA
Rfam family: Bacterial small subunit ribosomal RNA
Source: RNAcentral